CCAGGCCUGAAGGGAGAAUAGAACCAUCACAUUAUGUCAAUGGGCUCAGCUAGUCAAGUGGAAGUCGGUCUCACCAGCAGACGCUACUGGGAGCAGGCACUUCCUCUCCAGCUGGCUGUUGGCCUCUUGAAGCCAUGUGAUGUGCCUGCUCCCCCUUGGCCUUCCACCAUGAGUAAGCUUCCCAAGGCCUCCCUAGAAGCCAAGAAGAUACCAGCACCAUGCUUCCUGUAAAGCCUGCUGGCCUGUGGGCCAAUUAAGCCUCUUUUCUUUAGAAAUUACCCAGACUCAGAGACGGGGUCUCACUUCAUUGCCCAGGCUGAUCAUGAACUCCUGGCCUCAAUCAGUGCUCCCGCCUUGGCCUCCCAAAGCACUAGGAUUACAUGUGUGAGCCACUGCACCCGGCCUCCUUUUUCUACAUAAAAUAUCUUUGUAUGGAUAACCAUUUCACGCAGUAUUCCAUCCAAAAAAGAGAGAAUAAUGUUUUUAUUGUCUCUUUAUUUGGACCCUAUGGCAGAUAUGGCUGCUAAAUUUGACGUUCUCUCUGUAAUGCGGCGUAAGAAGAAAACUGGCUCCCAACAGAAGCAGAAAAGAGAAGCGAAAAGCAAUAAUACAGACUGUCACCUCUAGGGUUUAUGCUGUCACUAGGAUACAUCUUUAGCAUUCUACUCUGCUUCAGAAAUAAAGCACAAGAAGAUAAAGUA
This is a long non-coding RNA of Gorilla gorilla gorilla (western lowland gorilla), 701 nucleotides long. RefSeq lists it as uncharacterized. The transcript is spliced from 3 exons. Lineage: Eukaryota; Metazoa; Chordata; Mammalia; Primates; Hominidae. The record is from RefSeq and is a predicted model, not a curated record.